Molecule: long non-coding RNA, 4939 nt
Organism: Ictalurus punctatus (channel catfish)
Lineage: Eukaryota; Metazoa; Chordata; Actinopteri; Siluriformes; Ictaluridae
Exons: 2
Source: RefSeq, a predicted model, not a curated record
AAAAAACAGAACAGCACAGAAAGCUUACUUGCAGCUCCCCUCCUCUUCCCCAUAAGAAAAAUACUGACCGCAGUUGUGUACAAAUCCUUACUGUGCACUGGAACAUUCACUCCCUAAAAAAUCCCACAAUGCCCACAAAAACCAGGGAGCAUCGAUGCUCACUAUGUUCCUCUACUGGAAAUGACGCCAUGUUUUUGAAGCCUCUCAGCAUGAAAAAAAAAGGGACGGACUCUCAGCCAACUUUGGCUACAAAUGUAAGUAGCUUGCUGUUGUUGUUGUUCUUAAAUGAUUACUUACUUUAGCAAUUUUUUACUUUAUUUGGUGAUCUAUUUACAGGUUGUUUGAGUCUACGGCUUUUAAGUGUUUAAUUUUUUUUUUUUAAUCCACUAGUUUGCCUAUGAUCCUGCUUGACAUAUGACAGAAAUACAUGUGAUUAAGCUAACAAAUUUAUAUGACAUAUAAAACUAAAAUAUUUUUAAGCUUUUAAUUUUUGGUGAUGUUUUACAAUGUGAGUAUGUAGUCAUGCUGAAAGGAGAUAUGAGUAAUCAGUGUCCCACUGUUUAGUGAACCAGUGUACAAACUCGUGUACACAAUAUACGGAUUCACAACUUGUACCCACAGUAAUUGUGUCCAGUAUUUUUUGCAGAUGAACCUGAACCUUUAGCACUGAACCGUCCACUCCCCUCCUACCUGCCUCACAUACAAUAUAAAAUUUUGUAUAUAUCUGUGGGGUCCAAGCACAAAUAACACCCCCAGCAACCAGUUCUUGCCAUUCACUUAUAUGAACAUACUUCAUCAAGUUUCAUGUCAAUAGCUCAAUGCCAGCUGAAGUUUGAUUGGCUGAAGACAACUAUGUUUUUGAAAUAAUUCAGUGACAGUUAAAAAUCCAAAAUGCAGCAGAACUAAAAAAAAAAAAAAAAACAAUCAUAUGACCAACCAAGAAUAUAACAAAUACAGCUAUUUGAGUAAAUCAGCUCUGCCUCCUUAGAUCUGAUUGACAGGUGGUGGCAAUAUCGCUUAUAAAUCUCAACAUGUAUUUUUCAAAUAAUUAUUGAGCCCCAAACUCUCCCGAGUAGUUUGAAACCAAUAUUGUGAAGAUUAGCAAAAAGAAAUCCUAGAACUAAUGGGCAAAAUUAGGUUUUGCAUUUUAUGUGAAUUGGCAAAAAAUUUGUCAUAGCAGAAACUACAGUGUGAUGUCUACUGUAGAUCAGUUUGGCUUAAUGUAAUGUAUAAGAAAAAAAUUAUUUUGAAAGUAGGAAUUACAGUUCUUGAGAUAUGGACCAAAACAUUUGCACUAUAGCACUAUCAUUGAGCCCAUCACAUUUGUCUGAGUAAAGGGAGUGAUUACUACAAAAUCCAUGUCUCUUCAAAAAAGACAAAGAAAACAAAAAUUUUGGUACAUAAUUCACUGGAUUUCAAAGUCAGUUAAAUUAGGCCAAUAGCAAGUUAACUGUACUUUUCACCAUGAUAUUUCCAGAAUCUUGCUUGUCUUUUGUGAUGUUGUGACUGUUAUCCAUGAUUUUGUAGCCUGCCAUCAUUCAUUCAUCGUCAGUACGCUGAAGGUGGCGGAUCCAGAGCCUGUCCUAGGUACACUGGGUGUAAGGUUGGAAUACACCAUAGACAGGACGCCAAUCCAUCACAGGGCAUCAAGCAUACACAAACACACACACACACACACACACACACACACACACACACACACACACACACACACACACACACACACACACACACACACACACACACUCAUUCACAAUUGAAAAUCCUCAACCUACCUACUAGCAUGGUUUUAACAGUUAGGAGAAACCUGAAGAACCCAGAUGAAAGCACAUGCACAUAAACUCUGGAAUGCUUUCCCCCAACAGAUCUGUACCUACAGUAGCUUCUCAGUGAAGUCAAAAUACACCUAUUCAUGUAAUACAUACAGUAUGUUAAAUCUCAUAAUUUUUAACUAAUCAUGCCAUCUUAUGCGCAUUAUGUUAUUUCGGUGUUUACUUGUGUAUUAAAAGCACUAUAAAUAAAACAUAUGUGCAUGGCAGAACGAGGGGUGAGUCACUGCAUAGUGCAUAAACAGAAGUGGUUGAAACAUGUUGAGUGGUUCAGUGUGGUUCAAACCCAUCACCAUGACAGCUUAAAAGACCAAAGAAAACCCCACAAAAAAGACACCUAAAUUUAACCUAUGUAGAGAUGCCAAUGCAUACUUUGGUCUCUGCUCUCUGCUUUUUAUGAUCCACUAUCCUGUAGUGGCUCACCAGCUGUCUGAACACAUGUAGAAUGUAAGUCAUCACAACUACCUUUCACCCCUAUGCCUAUGGGAAUAUAAUAAUUUUUUUAAUUAGCAUUUUAUAACAAAGGUAUGAAUAUGGAUAUGUACUGAGUUGCUAGGUUAUUAAGUUCUAGUUGCAAAUUAAAGAAAGAAAUCGACAUUUAUAUGGGGUAUUAGCAUUGCAUUUGCUAUUUGUUCUGACCUAAAAGGAAAAGUAAACAAACUUUCCACAUGUGCAUAAUUGCACAUCAAGCAUAGCCACUGAAAAUACAUACAGUGCACAUAGAAAUACAAAACCUUCACCAUGAACCCACUUCCUCUGAGUAGCCCACAUCAUCUACAAUACUAUAAAAAAAGAAAAAGAAAAAAAAACACCAUACUUUUUAAAAUACCUACUGAAUGACCAAGAAUCUGCAGAAUGCAGCAUUUGAAACAUUUUUUUCUUUUUACAAAUUAGAAGGAAAAAAAAAAAACCUUACUCUGGCUCUUACACCUCUAUGAUUGCUGACCAUUCUGUUUUUAAAAAUGAGAGUUCUGGGGAAAAUGCUGGCCUUAUCUUGUGGUAAAGACCUUAAGUGUCAGUGGUUCCGAAACACUACUACCAUCACCCACACAUUUCCUGUAGCAUUAACGACUGGCACAAUAGCACAUGAAAAUGUCAAUCUUGAUAAAGUGCAUCAUUAUUAUAUCUCUUCUAUUUAAAUAUCUUAAAAAUUCUAUAUUUUAAUACCAAUUUAUGAUAACUUGUUUUUCACCAUAUCAGACUAACUAGAUAUGUUCUACUAUUUUUGACAUGUAAAGCCACAACACUGCAGUAUUUUUCAUUAAAUUAAUUAAUCAUAUAAGGGGGGCUUAAAUAUUAAAAAUUUACAAAUAGAUAUGACUGAGACAUUUAUUCUUAAUUUUUUAUUUUUUAUUAGCAUUUGACUGACAUAUUUGAGCAAUUAAACAUAAAUACAUAAAUACACAACACAACCAUACAAUAGUCUGCUUCCUCAAAGACAUUCAAAGGUUUCAAAAUCCAGAUUUCACUGUACACUAAUAGGGCAUACAUUCUAUAUGUUUCGAUGUCAGUUUAUAUGUUUAUAUGUCCGUUCAUUAUGAGCAUCAUAGAAAGGUUUAUUUAGAAGGAAGUGCAACUCUGUAAAGCAUUGACAAUUAUUGCUCAGGAUCCAAAGUUGUAGCCAGUGGCAACAUUAUUCAGGCUUGUCAAGGUGUAGAGAUGUGGAAAAAACAAAAAGGUAAAAAAUAAUAAUAAUAAUAAAAUAAAAUAAAAAUUAAUUGUAGCUUGACUACACCAUAAUUUGAGUUGACUAUAUCAGUUAGAAUGAGUGAAAGGGCGGGGGUCAUAUAACCAAGUGAGUUCAUGGUGGGAAACUUACACAGGAAGUUGUCAUCUCAGAGUGAAAUCAUCUCAUCUCAAAUCUUCUUUUGCCUAUUUACACAGCAGGAAAAGAAAUAAUACUGCAAUCUGAAUUUUAAAUAUCAAUCACUAAAGGUUCACGCUCAAUUAUGUCUCAGUAUAAAGUUCCUGUGUAAGUGUAUUAGAAUGAGUGCAUUUAAUAUAAAACUGAUUUUCAUUACUGUCAGCUUUUCUGUUAUAGAAAACAAAUGAACACCUUCUGGCCAAUCAGAAUCGAGAAUUCAACAUUGCUCUGGUAUAAAGGUAUUAACAGUACAGUGAAAAGGUCUUAGUCAUCCUAAUUUUAUCGAUAAUUCUAUAAGUUUGUCUUAGGAGUUUAGGGUCUCUGCAUUACUGUGUCAGUAGAAAAGAGCAAGGUUCACAAAAUAACUGCUGCAGGUUUUCUGGAUGUACGGAAAUGCUUACCCAACCAGUUUCCUCAUUUACUCUACCUAGUACAUUUUUCAUAUGUAAACAUUUCAUUUCCUUAUAUUUAAGGUCAUCUUACCUUAACAGAAUUGCUUUACAUGCACCUAAGAUUUGUGUACAGCGCUAUGUUUUAAAAUAUAUAUAUAUGGAAGUAAAAACUUACAAGCUCAACACCAAUUUCUAUUUGCUCAGAGGCCUCUUAUGUUUGCACUUUUCUGUAAUGAAAACCAAUUUUGUGAUAACAACCCCAAACACACCUCCAAGACGACCACUGCGAAGGGUGAAGGUGAUGGACUGGCCAAGUAUGUCUCCAGACCUAAACCCUAUUGAGUAUCUGUGGGGCAUCCUCAAACGGAAGGUGUAGUCGACAUCCGUGAUGUCUUCAUGGAGGAGUGGAAGAGGACUCCCGUGGCAACUUGUGAAGCUCUGUUGAACUCCAUGCCCAAGAGGGUUAAGGCAGUGCUGGAAAAUAAUGGUGGCCACACACAAUAUUUCACUUUGGGCCCAAUUUGGACAUUUUCAAUUAGGGGUGUACUCACUUUUGUUGCCACGGUUUAGACAUUAAUGGCUGUGUGUUGAGUUAUUUUGAGGGGACAGAAAAUUUACACUGUUAUACAAGCUGUACACUCACUACUUUACAUUGUCAUUUCUUCAGUGUUGUCACAUGAAAAGAUAUAAUCAAAUAUUUACAAAAAUGUGAGGGGUGUACUCACUUUUGUGAGAUACUGUAUACAUAUGAGUACACUGUGUGUAUUUAUACCAGCAUAAGACAUGUUGAUGCACAACCGAUGUCUCCAAUAUAACCCAGUUAAUGUAGAUUGAAUAAACUACUUUAUUGUUAA